Molecule: long non-coding RNA, 1806 nt
Organism: Ailuropoda melanoleuca (giant panda)
Lineage: Eukaryota; Metazoa; Chordata; Mammalia; Carnivora; Ursidae
Source: Ensembl
AUGGUUUGCGUGUCUGAUUCUGCCCACUCCCCAUCCCUAGGCUGUCAGCUCCCCUCGACAGGAAGCCAACUCCAAAGGCCCACCAAAAAUCACUCCCAGGCUCAUGGCUCAUGCAAGUGCCCUGCGGACCAUUGGUGGGAGACACAGGGGCCCUUCUGCAGGUGGGUCAGUCUCCUGCUGGCCACUAGCAACGCCCGGCUGCCAGUGCUCCAGGGAACCAUGGAGAAGGCAGAGCCAAGGCAGCUGGAAGGAAUUUCCGUUUGUCCAUUCUUGCCAGGCCUGCUUCUGCUUUAUUUCAGCAAGGGGCUCAGCGCCUCAGAAACGUCCCACCGAACAUUCUUGUUUUCAAAGGAGGUGCUCCACAUGAGCGCUGUCUGACUGACCUUGACCAGGACCUGUGAAACCAACACACUGGCUGCCUUCGGGGACACUGGCCAAGGAGUCUGACUGGCCUGGGCCCCCACCCUGCCAUUCCUGGGCAAACCACGUCCCCCCUCAGAGCUUCUGCCCCUUCAGCGAUUAUGCAUGCCCACUCCUGUGAGAAGCUGAAGACAGGUUAUAGGUAGAGGCAUUUAUAAACUGCAAGCUGCCUUGAUGGCUAGCUUGUUGAAAUCAGUGAGAAAAAAUUUAAUUUCAGUUUCUAAGAUUUUUAAAAAUGGUGUAAUACCCAACAAGGGGUUUAUGUGAAUGUUCUCUUUCUAGUGCGGUGCUUCCUUUCACUUGCAGGGGCAGCCCCAGGCCCUUGCGUUGGCUGCUUACUGUAUUCUACUGAGUCCAGUUGAAAAUAGUCAUUCAUUUGCCAACGUUUUUUGAGCAUCUACUUUGCCAGGCUGUUAUGGGUGGAAUUGUGUCCCCCACUCCCCCGCCCCCGCCACCAAAAGAUACGCUGAAGUCUAAGCCCCUGGUAUCUGUGAAUGUGACCUUAUUUGGAAAUAGAGUCCUUGCAAAUACAAUCAGGUUAAGAUGAGGUCAUACUCGCCCUACUCCAAUAUGACUGGUGUCCUUCUAAGAAGAGAGACCCAGAGCCAGACACAGACCCAGAGGGGAGAGUACUGUGUGAGAGUGGAGAACUUGGAGUGUUGGUGCCAGAGCCAAGGAAGGCCCAGGACUACUAGAGCUGGAAGACACAAGGAAGGAUCCUCUCCUAGGGGCUUUGGAGGGAACGUGACCCUAUAAGACCUUGAUUUUGGAUGUCCAGCCUCCAGAACCGUGAGAGAAUAAGUUUCUGUUGUUUCAAGCCACCUACUUUAUGGUACGUUGUUAGGGCAGCCCUAGGAAACUAAUACCUUGGCAGGCUGGGGAUCUGGUGGAGAAAAAGACAAACAGCCUGCCCUCACAGAACUCACGUUCUAAUGAAGGAGGCAUGACCAUAAACAUGGUCGGAUAAAUAUGAACAUGGUAGAUUCAGGUACUGAGGGGAUUAAACAAGGACACGAGAUAUUUUAGUUCUCACUGGAAGGAAGGGAAGCCCACUGAGGGGGAGGCUGGUGGAACUAGAUCAUAGAGGGCCUUGGGGUGGGAAAAGGGACUGUCAUGGAGCCAGAGUGGCUGUAGACAGACUUAACUGGGUUGUUCAUGGAUAAUGGUGGCUUUUGGAAGAGAAUGUUGGAGAUGAAGCCACGUGGGCAGAUUCAACAUAUCUCAUGAUGGUACAACCAAAGGGUCUUGCCGACAGAUUGGUUGUGGCGUCGUGAGCAAGAGAGGAAUCGAGGAUGAAUCUAGAUUUUUGGCUGAAGCCAAAACCAUUUAUUUUUGGGGUGAGUGGUGAGGUCAUUUAUUAUAAUGGAGAAGAUCAGGGAAGGCACG